UGGAGCAUGGCGCAGUGGUAGCGCAGGCGUCUGAUGGCUGCCAGGUCUCCGGUUCGAUUCCGGAUGUUCCGC
RNAcentral lists this transfer RNA (72 nucleotides) under [Clostridium] symbiosum ATCC 14940. RNAcentral's name for it is "tRNA-Ile". It matches the Rfam family "tRNA". Rfam says of the family: Transfer RNA (tRNA) molecules are approximately 80 nucleotides in length. Their secondary structure includes four short double-helical elements and three loops (D, anti-codon, and T loops). Lineage: Bacteria; Bacillati; Bacillota; Clostridia; Lachnospirales; Lachnospiraceae. The record is from RNAcentral.